UGGGGAAUUUUGGACAAUGGGCGAAAGCCUGAUCCAGCAAUGCCGCGUGUGUGAAGAAGGCCUUCGGGUUGUAAAGCACUUUUGUCCGGAAAGAAAUCCUUGGCUCUAAUACAGUCGGGGGAUGACGGUACCGGAAGAAUAAGCACCGGCUAACUACGUGCCAGCAGCCGCGGUAAUACGUAGGGUGCAAGCGUUAAUCGGAAUUACUGGGCGUAAAGCGUGCGCAGGCGGUUUGCUAAGACCGAUGUGAAAUCCCCGGGCUCAACCUGGGAACUGCAUUGGUGACUGGCAGGCUAGAGUAUGGCAGAGGGGGGUUAGAAUUCCACGUGUAGCAGUGAAAUGCGUAGAGAUGUGGAGGAAUGCCGAUGGCGAAGGCAGCCCCCUGGGCCAAUACUGACGCUCAUGCACGAAAGCGUGGGGAGCAAAACAGGAUUAGAUACCCCUGGUAGUCCACGCCCUAAACGAUGUCAACUAGUUGUUGGGGAUUCAUUUCCUUAGUAACGUAGCUAACGCGUGAAGUUGACCGCCUGGGGAGUACGGUCGCAAGAUUAAAACUCAAAGGAAUUGACGGGGUCAUAGCUGUUUCCU
Molecule: ribosomal RNA, 588 nt
Filed under: uncultured bacterium
Lineage: Bacteria
Description: partial 16S ribosomal RNA
Rfam family: Bacterial small subunit ribosomal RNA
Source: RNAcentral